This 531-nucleotide ribosomal RNA is filed under the name Oeneis bore. Its description in RNAcentral is "partial 16S rRNA". Lineage: Eukaryota; Metazoa; Arthropoda; Insecta; Lepidoptera; Nymphalidae. The record is from RNAcentral.
CUCAGAUCAUGUAAGAUUUUAAUGAUCGAACAGAUCAAAAUUUUAAACUUUUGCACUUAAAUUUUAUCUUAAUCCAACAUCGAGGUCGCAAACUUUUUUUUUUAUUCGAACUAAAAAAAAAUAUUACGCUGUUAUCCCUAAGGUAAUUUUUUCUUAUAAUCAUUAUCAAUGGAUCAUUUAACCAUUUAUUUAUGUUUAAUUUUUAAAAAAAGUUAAUUUAAUUUUUCUAUCACCCCAAUAUAAUAAUUAAUUUUAUUUUAAUAAAAAUUUUUAUAUAACUUUAAAAUAAAAAUAAAUAUAAAACUCUAUAGGGUCUUCUCGUCUUUUAAAAUUAUUUUAGCUUUUUAACUAAAAAAUAAAUUUCUAAAAAUAAAUAAGAGACAGUUUAUAUUUCAUCAAAUCUUUCAUACAAGUUUUCAAUUAAAAAACUAUUGAUUAUGCUACCUUUGUACAGUCAUUAUACUGCAGCCCUUUAAUAUUUAUCAGUGGGCAGAUUAGACUUUAAAUUAUAUUCAAAAAGACAUGUUUUUG